Drosophila melanogaster (fruit fly) is the source of this 885-nucleotide non-coding RNA. The record is from Ensembl. NCBI's taxonomy places the organism in Eukaryota, Metazoa, Arthropoda, Insecta, Diptera, Drosophilidae.
UAACUUCUACUAAAAAUCAAAAUUUACAUCAAUACUAAAUGAAAUCAAAAUCAAAUAUAUAAUAAUUGAAAAUCAAAGAGUCUCAGAGUGAAAUACAUAAAAAGCAUAAAUAUUGUUUCUGUCAAACGAAGCGAACACUGUAAAAGUUUGCGAUUAAAUAAAAAAUCGGAUGACACAAAAACAAAAUAUCACACCAGUGUCGCAAAAAAAAAUUCAGAAUCCAUCAGUGAACAGUAAACGGUGACAAAAAAAGUUUAUAAUAGAAUUGUGCAUAAUUCAUAAUUCAUUUUCAAUGCAAUGCAACUGAUUCAAAUUAAUCCAAAUUAGAUAAAGUAAACAGGAAUAACAUAUGCUUAUUAAAUCACUGAUAAAAACUUCAUUUAAUCGAGAUUCAUUUGACCUAAAUCCAUGUUAAUCGCGAAAUAUAGCAGUUUGAUCAAAGUGCAAAUGGCAAGAAGCAGCGGAAAUUGUAUUGACAACACAGUGCCGGAAUGCACAUAAAAUAAAACAAAUAUCAAAUUGCAAUGUUUUAAACGGCAAGCUGCCAUUAUUAGAAUAUAUAAAUGCAUUAAAGUGCUCUUACAAAAUUGUAUAACUCUGUGCAGUCGCGUUUUUGUGUUGGUGUCGCCUAAUUGAGCAUGCAUUAAAAUAAUAGGCAAUAUAAAUAAUCUCGUCAUAAAUAUAAGAGAAUGCUUACAUAAUUUAGGCUUUUGAAACAUUUAAAGCCACGAAGUAAAAAAGCGUAUAUCUGUCUAUGUGUGUUUCCAUGUGUGUGUGACUGUGACAGUGCGGAUGAAAUAAAUGCUUUAAUUAAAUACAUGGCAUAAACAAUCGGCCAGCUCGGAUUACCAUUGGGAGUACGCAGAAAAAAAUAAUUCAGCUGGU